AUGCUACAGGAUAAAGAUGGGGUUGGAUCCAAUAACUGUUAGGUGAAGGACCCAAUAAUAAUUUUGUAUUGUGUUGAAUGAUGGGUCUGACUUAACUAAGAAUAGGGCCAAUAACUGUCAAGUAAGGCCUACAUAACUUAGAGACCAGUUACUGCUGCAACAUAGUUGAGAAGUAUUGGAUAAGAAUUAUCCAUUUAUUGAUUUGCAUAUCAUCAAUAACUAUCAGAUGAGGUGUGCAUAGAUCGAUGGGACCGUAGUAUCCACUUGAAAUCCUAGUCACAAAGGAUUUUUAUCUCUCUACCUG
RNAcentral lists this long non-coding RNA (304 nucleotides) under Elaeis guineensis (African oil palm). RNAcentral describes it as "long non-coding RNA (EGUI_LNC046901)". Lineage: Eukaryota; Viridiplantae; Streptophyta; Magnoliopsida; Arecales; Arecaceae. The record is from RNAcentral.